Molecule: ribosomal RNA, 253 nt
Filed under: uncultured bacterium
Lineage: Bacteria
Description: partial 16S ribosomal RNA
Rfam family: Bacterial small subunit ribosomal RNA
Source: RNAcentral
UACGAAGGGGGCUAGCGUUGUUCGGAAUUACUGGGCGUAAAGCGCACGUAGGCGGAUAUUUAAGUCAGGGGUGAAAUCCCAGAGCUCAACUCUGGAACUGCCUUUGAUACUGGGUAUCUCGAGUAUGGAAGAGGUGAGUGGAAUUCCGAGUGUAGAGGUGAAAUUCGUAGAUAUUCGGAGGAACACCCGUGGCGAAGGCGGCUCUCUGGGACGGUACUGACGCUGAGACGCGAAAGCGUGGGGAGCGAACAGG